Molecule: transfer RNA, 83 nt
Filed under: archaeon CG10_big_fil_rev_8_21_14_0_10_43_11
Lineage: Archaea
Description: tRNA-Ser
Rfam family: tRNA (bases 1-52)
About the family: Transfer RNA (tRNA) molecules are approximately 80 nucleotides in length. Their secondary structure includes four short double-helical elements and three loops (D, anti-codon, and T loops). Further hydrogen bonds mediate the characteristic L-shaped molecular structure. tRNAs have two regions of fundamental functional importance: the anti-codon, which is responsible for specific mRNA codon recognition, and the 3' end, to which the tRNAs corresponding amino acid is attached (by aminoacyl-tRNA synthetases). tRNAs cope with the degeneracy of the genetic code in two manners: having more than one tRNA (with a specific anti-codon) for a particular amino acid; and 'wobble' base-pairing, i.e. permitting non-standard base-pairing at the 3rd anti-codon position.
Source: RNAcentral
GCCGGGAUGGCUGAGUGGUUAAAGCGCAGGUUUGCUAAACCUGUUCCCUUCGGGGAGCAAGGGUUCGAAUCCAACGAUUGGAA